Long non-coding RNA from Cygnus olor (mute swan), 617 nucleotides. RefSeq lists it as uncharacterized. NCBI's taxonomy places the organism in Eukaryota, Metazoa, Chordata, Aves, Anseriformes, Anatidae. The record is from RefSeq and is a predicted model, not a curated record. The transcript has 3 exons.
AUUUAAUUCCUUUAUUUUUAGUUACAAACUCACCAUGUCUUGCUUUUACAAAGUUACUUGAUACAUUAAACAUCGUGAUGUUCAGAAUCUGUCAUAGUCUCUGUGGCUUGUGCUUGUUUUGUAGCUGUAUUUAAUCCAAUAUAACUCCUGUAGCUAAUGGUCUGCUAGACUUCAUACCUUCUCCUGCACUUUCUCUCCAAACAGGCAAGCACAACUGUUUGGUUUGGUUUGUUUUUUCUGGAUGGAGAACUGAGGUGUGAGCAGUGCUGGUGGUCAGAAGAGAGAAGGAGAUGGGUGGUCAGGAGAGAAGGAGGCUGUAAGAAUCUGACCUUUCCACUACUCUGUGAUUUGACUGGCUGAUUACUACUUCUUCAGGUUACCACCCAUUUUUCCAUGUUGCAAAGAGAGGUGUUUAUAUAGCCAUUGUACAAAGUACAAAGUAUCUAGCCAUUAACGAAGUAUCUUCAGUGACAUAUUGUCCUAACCCCUGAAUAUUGCUAAGGUGAAUUGCUAUCCCUGGCUGACAUUUAUAUUAAACUAUUUGCAGUAUGUAUUCCUGAAUAAAAGUCCUGAAUAAAAUCAAUUCCAGUUUAGAUAUAUGGCAUCUGCUUUGGAAA